GAUGAACGCUGGCGGCGUGCCUAAUACAUGCAAGUCGAGCGAACAGACGAGGAGCUUGCUCCUCUGACGUUAGCGGCGGACGGGUGAGUAACACGUGGAUAACCUACCUAUAAGACUGGGAUAACUUCGGGAAACCGGAUCUAAUACCGGAUAAUAUAUUGAACCGCAUGGUUCAAUAGUGAAAGACGGUUUUGCUGUCACUUAUAGAUGGUUCCGCGCCGCAUUAGCUAGUUGGUAAGGUAACGGCUUACCAAGGCAACGAUGCGUAGCCGACCUGAGAGGGUGAUAGGCCACACUGGAACUGAGACACGGUCCAGACUCCUAAGGGAGGCAGCAGUAGGGAAUCUUCCGCAAUGGGCGAAAGCCUGACGGAGCAACGCCGCGUGAGUGAUGAAGGUCUUCGGAUCGUAAAACUCUGUUAUUAGGGAAGAACAAAUGUGUAAGUAACUAUGCACGUCUUGACGGUACCUAAUCAGAAAGCCACGGCUAACUACGUG
Molecule: ribosomal RNA, 497 nt
Filed under: uncultured bacterium
Lineage: Bacteria
Description: partial 16S ribosomal RNA
Rfam family: Bacterial small subunit ribosomal RNA
Source: RNAcentral